GAUGAACGCUGGCGGCGUGCCUAAUACAUGCAAGUCGAGCGAACAGACGAGGAGCUUGCUCCUCUGACGUUAGCGGCGGACGGGUGAGUAACACGUGGAUAACCUACCUAUAAGACUGGGAUAACUUCGGGAAACCGGAGCUAAUACCGGAUAAUAUAUUGAACCGCAUGGUUCAAUAGUGAAAGACGGUUUUGCUUACACUUAUAGAUGGAUCCGCGCCGCAUUAGCUAGUUGGUAAGGUAACGGCUUACCAAGGCAACGAUGCGUAGCCGACCUGAGAGGGUGAUCGGCCACACUGGAACUGAGACACGGUCCAGACUCCGACGGGGGGCAGCAGUAGGGAAUCUUCCGCGAUGGGCGAAUGCCUGACGGAGCAACGCCGCGUGAGUGAUGAACGUCUUCGGAUCGUAAAACUCUGUUAUUAGGGAAGAACAAAUGUGUAAGUAACUAUGCACGUCUUGACGGUACCUAAUCAGAAAGCCACGGCUAACUACGUG
This 497-nucleotide ribosomal RNA is filed under the name uncultured bacterium. RNAcentral describes it as "partial 16S ribosomal RNA". It matches the Rfam family "Bacterial small subunit ribosomal RNA", at positions 28 to 507 of the family's 1533-position model. The record is from RNAcentral.